GCGGCUGUAGCUCAGUUGGCUAGAGCGUCUGCUUGCCAUGCAGAAGGUCGAGAGUUCGAGUCUCUUCAGCCGCU
RNAcentral lists this transfer RNA (74 nucleotides) under Patulibacter sp. RNAcentral's name for it is "tRNA-Gly". It matches the Rfam family "tRNA". Rfam says of the family: Transfer RNA (tRNA) molecules are approximately 80 nucleotides in length. Their secondary structure includes four short double-helical elements and three loops (D, anti-codon, and T loops). Further hydrogen bonds mediate the characteristic L-shaped molecular structure. tRNAs have two regions of fundamental functional importance: the anti-codon, which is responsible for specific mRNA codon recognition, and the 3' end, to which the tRNAs corresponding amino acid is attached (by aminoacyl-tRNA synthetases). tRNAs cope with the degeneracy of the genetic code in two manners: having more than one tRNA (with a specific anti-codon) for a particular amino acid; and 'wobble' base-pairing, i.e. permitting non-standard base-pairing at the 3rd anti-codon position. Lineage: Bacteria; Bacillati; Actinomycetota; Thermoleophilia; Solirubrobacterales; Patulibacteraceae. RNAcentral also lists the same sequence under 12 other names. The record is from RNAcentral.